This 444-nucleotide ribosomal RNA is filed under the name soil bacterium 14G-12. RNAcentral describes it as "bacterial SSU rRNA". It matches the Rfam family "Bacterial small subunit ribosomal RNA", at positions 24 to 484 of the family's 1533-position model. The record is from RNAcentral.
UCAGGAUGAACGCUGGCGGCGUGCUUAACACAUGCAAGUCGAACGAUGAACCUCACUUGUGGGGGGAUUAGUGGCGAACGGGUGAGUAACACGUGAGUAACCUGCCCUUGACUCUGGGAUAAGCCUGGGAAACUGGGUCUAAUACCGGAUAUGACCUUCCAUCGCAUGGUGGUUGGUGGAAAGCUUUUGUGGUUUUGGAUGGACUCGCGGCCUAUCAGCUUGUUGGUGGGGUAAUGGCCUACCAAGGCGACGACGGGUAGCCGGCCUGAGAGGGUGACCGGCCACACUGGGACUGAGACACGGCCCAGACUCCUACGGGAGGCAGCAGUGGGGAAUAUUGCACAAUGGGCGCAAGCCUGAUGCAGCGACGCCGCGUGAGGGAUGACGGCCUUCGGGUUGUAAACCUCUUUCAGUAGGGAAGAAGCGAGAGUGACGGUACCGCAG